Molecule: long non-coding RNA, 15176 nt
Filed under: Xyrichtys novacula (pearly razorfish)
Lineage: Eukaryota; Metazoa; Chordata; Actinopteri; Labriformes; Labridae
Source: RNAcentral
CGUCCACAUUCGGGGAUGAUGUUCGUGCCCUUUUAUCUUGGAACUUUGGCUGCUGGACUUUAAAAUACAACCUGUACAAGAUUUGAACCCACGACCUUAGGACUGCCAGUCAGUCUCCUUAUCCACUGAGCCAUGUCGACACAGAGAAGUCUUCUGGUUUUUUCCUAUUUCACUGUCGUUUGAAGACACAAGGCUUUAAAAUUCACCUCAACUUGGGUAAGGUGAGGCUUGAACCCACAACCUUAAGAGUGCCAGGCAGUCUCCUUAUCCUCUGAGCCAUGUGGACACAGAGGAGUCUUCUGUUUUUUUCCUAUUUCACUGUCGUUUGAAGACACAAGGCUUUAAAAUUCACCUCAACUUGGGUUAGGUGAGGCUUGAACCCACAACCUUAAGAGUGCCAGGCAGUCUCCUUAUCCUCUGAGCCAUGUGGACACAGCCCCACACUGGGCUUUUGAUUGACAUGGCCAAUCAAAAGCCCAGUCCCACCUUCAGAACAGAGCUUCACAGUUUGUACCCAACAGUCAUUGCCAAGGAUCCAGAACUGAUAAUCAGGACUUUUAGGCUGGGUGAAUAAAAAAUUGAUGGUUGGAAAAUUAAGCAGGAGUUAUCUUGUUUGUGUUUUUACAUUUUGGAGGAGCUGAGAGAUGAAGACAAGGCUUGGCAUUAUUUCAAUGUGAUUAGACCCAGAACAUUGCUCACACCAACGAAAUGCAGGUGCUUUGAGCUGGAAUUGGACCAGCGACCUUAGUAUCACAGCAUUUCAUAUGAGGAACGUCCUACAGUCCUCUGCUCUAACAAGUGAGCUAUCAAGGUGCUCUCUACUCACAACUGCAGAAAACAUAGUGGCUGAGACGACACACUAUUCCCACACAACUUUUCGACCCACAUGGUCAAUGAAAAGACUAGCCCUACCUGCAGAAGAAAGCUUUGCAGUUUGUACCCAACAGUCAUUGCCAGGGACCCAAAACUGAUAAUCAGGACUUUUAGGCUGAGCUUUUGAUUGACAUGGCCAAUCAACAGAAACUUCUCCCCACUUUUAAGGUGGAUAGCUGUCAAUCAUCUUCUUCACAGUCUAUGCUCUCAACAGAGGGAGCAACACUGCCACCAAGUGGAGGGGAGAUUACCUCAACUUGUGUGUGUGCACAUCUUGAAAACUGAGGCUGUGACUCAUUUCAGAGACCGCAUCGGGCUAAGUGCACUUCUGCACCGUCGAACGGUGCAUUUGAAGCAUGCAUGAAGUCACGACGGCGCGAACAGUGUCCCAUUUGGUACGAGAUGCUAAGAAAUGCUAAGCGCGCUUAGCAUUUUUUCAGGCGUGCAUUUAUAGACGCUUUCGUGCCAUCUGUAUCCCAGAAUGCUUUGCGUGCCGCUGCACAGCUGCGCAUUUCAGGUGAGAGGCUGGACUCGCUUGGAGACGCAGCGCGUCUUCAAAGAAAAUACAAGAAAUCCAAAACCAGCAGACAGUCAGCUCAGGCUGUAUGAGAGCAUGAUCUCUGAACUCACUAAAAUCUGUAAACCAAACAUUAAAGAUUUAGAGACGAACUGAUCCGCUCUGCUUCAACUAAAAAAAACAUGAUGGUCUUCUGUGUCCACAUGGCUCAGUGGAUAUGGAGACUCACUGGUACUCCUGAUAUUGUGGGUUCAAGUCUUACCCUUUCCAGUUCUAAGAGAAUUUUAAAGUCUCGAGUCCACAAAGGACAGCGAUAUGUGAAUAAAAAAACACAUUUCUCUUGUGUGUCCACAUGGCUCACGGGAUAAGGAGACUGACUGGGACUCCUGAGGUGGUGUGUUCGAACCUUUUUUGGGACAAGGUGAAUUUUGAAGUCUAGUGUCUAGACAGGAAAGUGAAAGAGGAAACAAAUGGUAUAAUCCUGUGUGUCCAAGUGGCUCAGGGAUAAGAACACUGACUGAAACUCUUGAGGUCAUAGGUUCGAGUCCUACCUUGCCCACUUUUUGGUGAAUUUUGAAGGUCUAGAGUCUACAAAGGACAGCGAUAUGUGAAUAAAAAAAUACAUUUCUCUUGUGUGUCCACAUAGCUCACGGUAUAAGGAUACUGACUGGGACUCCUGAGGUGGUGUGUUCGAGCCUUUUUUGGGACAAGGUGAAUUUUGAAGUCUAGUGUCUAGACAGGAAAGUGAAAGAGGAAACAAAUGGUAUAAUCCUGUGUGUCCAAGUGGCUCAGUGGAUAAGAACACUGGCUGGAACUCCUGAGGUCAUAGGUUCGAGUUCUACCUUACCUACUUUUAGGUGAAUUUUAAAGUCUCGAGUCCACAAAGGACAGCGAUAUGUGAAUAAAAAAACACACUUCUCUUGUGUGUGCACAUGGCUCACGGGAUAAGGAGACUGACUGGGACUCCUGAGGUGGUGUGUUCGAGCCUUUUUUGGGACAAGGUGAAUUUUGAAGUCUAGUGUCUAGACAGGAAAGUGAAAGAGGAAACAAAUGGUAUAAUCCUGUGUGUCCAAGUGGCUCAGUGGAUAAGAACACUGGCUGCAACUCCUGAAGUCCUAGGUUCGAGUCCUACCUUGCCCUCUUCUUGGUGAAUUUUAAAGGUCUAGAGUCUACAAAGUACAGUGAUAUGUGAAAAAAGAACCCAACUCUCUCGUGUGUCUACAUAGCUAACGGGAUAAGGAGACUGACUGGUACUCCUGAGGUGGUGUGUUCAAGCCUUUUUUGGGACAAGGUGAAUUUUGAAGUCUAGUGUCUAGACAGGAAAGUGAAAGAGGAAACAAAUGGUAUAAUCCUGUGUGUCCAAGUGGCUCAGUGGAUAAGAACACUGGCUGGAAUUCCUGAGCUCAUAGGUUCGAGUCCUACCUUGCCCACUUUUUGGUGAAUUUUGAAGGUCUAGAGUCUACAAAGGACAGCGAUAUGUGAAAAAAAAAUACAUUUCUCUUGUGUGUGCACAUGGCUCACGGGAUAAGAAGACUGACUGGUACUCCUGAGGUGGUGUGUUCGAGCCUUUUUUGGGACAAGGUGAAUUUUGAAGUCUAGUGUCUAGACAGGAAAGUGAAAGAGGAAACAAAUGGUAUAAUCCUGUGUGUCCAAGUGGCUCAGGGGAUAAGAACACUGGCUGCAACUCCUGAGGUCAUAGGUUCGAGUCCUACCUUGCCCACUUUUUGGUGAAUUUUGAAGGUCUAGAGUCUACAAAGGACAGCGAUAUGUGAAUAAAAAAAUAAAUUUCUCUUGUGUGUCCACAUAGCUCACGGGAUAAGUAGACUGACUGGUACUCCUGAGGUGGUGUGUUCAAGCCUAUUUUGGGACAAGGUGAAUUUUGAAGUCUAGUGUCUAGACAGGAAAGUGAAACAGGAAACAAAUGGUAUAAUUCUGUUCGUCCAAGUGGCUCAGUGGAUAAGAACACUGGCUGGAACUCCUGAGGUCAUAGGUUCGAGUCCUACCUUGCCCACUUCUUGGUGAAUUUUGAAGGUCUAGAGUUUACAAAGGACAGCGAUAUGUGAAUAAAAAAAUACAUUUCUCUUGUGUGUCCACAUAGCUCACGGGAUAAGGAGACUGACUGGUACUCCUGAGGUGGUGUGUUCGAGCCUUUUUUGGGACAAGGUGAAUUUUGAAGUCUAGUGUCUAGACAGGAAAGUGAAAGAGGAAACAAAUGGUAUAAUCCUGUGUCUCCAAGUGGCUCAGUGGAUAAGAACACUGGCUGGAACUCCUGAGGUCAUAGGUUCGAGUCCUACCUUGCCCACUUCUUGGUGAAUUUUGAAGGUCUAGAGUUUACAAAGGACAGUGAUAUGUGAAUAAAAAAAUACAUUUCUCUUGUGUGUCCACAUAGCUCACGGGAAAAGGAGACUGACUGGUACUCCUGAGGUGGUCUGUUCGAGCCUUUUUUGGGACAAGGUGAAUUUUGAAGUCUAGUGUCUAGACAGGGAAGUGAAAGAGGAAACAAAUGGUAUAAUCCUGUGUGUCCAAGUGGCUCAGUGGAUAAGAACACUGGCUGGAACUCCUGAGGUCAUAGGUUCGAGUCCUACCUUGCCCACUUCUUGCUGAAUUUUGAAGGUCUUGAGUCAACAAAGGACAGCGAUAUGUGAAUAAAAAAACACAUUUCUCUUGUGUGUCCACAUAGCUCACGGUAUAAGGAUACUGACUGGGACUCCUGAGGUGGUGUGUUCGAGCCUUUUUUGGGACAAGGUGAAUUUUGAAGUCUAGUGUCUAGACAGGAAAGUGAAAGAGGAAACAAAUGGUAUAAUCCUGUGUGUCCAAGUGGCUCAGUGGAUAAGAACACUGGCUGGAACUCCUGAGGUCAUAGGUUCGAGUUCUACCUUACCUACUUUUAGGUGAAUUUUAAAGUCUGGAGUCCACAAAGGACAGCGAUAUGUGAAUAAAAAAACACACUUCUCUUGUGUGUGCACAUGGCUCACGGGAUAAGGAGACUGACUGGGACUCCUGAGGUGGUGUGUUCAAGCCUUUUUUGAGACAAGGUGAAUUUUGAAGUCUAGUGUCUAGACAGGAAAGUGAAAGAGGAAACAAAUGGUAUAAUCCUGUGUGUCCAAGUGGCUCAGGGGAUAAGAACACUGGCUGCAACUCCUGAGGUCAUAGGUUCGAGUCCUACCUUGCCCACUUUUUGGUGAAUUUUGAAGGUCUAGAGUCUACAAAGGACAGCGAUAUGUGAAAAAAAAAUACAUUUCUCUUGUGUGUGCACAUGGCUCACGGGAUAAGAAGACUGACUGGUACUCCUGAGGUGGUGUGUUCGAGCCUUUUUUGGGACAAGGUGAAUUUUGAAGUCUAGUGUCUAGACAGGAAAGUGAAAGAGGAAACAAAUGGUAUAAUCCUGUGUGUCCAAGUGGCUCAGUGGAUAAGAACACUGGCUGGAAUUCCUGAGGUCAUAGGUUGGAGUCCUACCUUGCCCACUUUUUGGUGAAUUUUGAAGGUCUAGAGUCUACAAAGGACAGCGAUAUGUGAAAAAAAAAUACAUUUCUCUUGUGUGUGCACAUGGCUCACGGGAUAAGAAGACUGACUGGUACUCCUGAGGUGGUGUGUUCGAGCCUUUUUUGGGACAAGGUGAAUUUUGAAGUCUAGUGUCUAGACAGGAAAGUGAAAGAGGAAACAAAUGGUAUAAUCCUGUGUCUCCAAGUGGCUCAGUGGAUAAGAACACUGGCUGGAACUCCUGAGGUCAUAGGUUCGAGUCCUACCUUGCCCACUUCUUGGUGAAUUUUGAAGGUCUAGAGUUUACAAAGUACAGUGAUACGUGAAUAAAAAAAUACAUUUCUCUUGUGUGUCCACAUGGCUCACGAGCCUUUUUGGGACAAGGUGAAUUUUGAAGUCUAGUGUCUAGACAGGAAAGUGAAAGAGGAAACAAAUGGUAUAAUCCUGUGUGUCCAAGUGGCUCAGUGGAUAAGAACACUGGCUGGAACUCCUGAGGUCAUAGGUUCGAGUUCUACCUUACCUACUUUUAGGUGAAUUUUAAAGUCUGGAGUCCACAAAGGACAGCGAUAUGUGAAUAAAAAAACACACUUCUCUUGUGUGUGCACAUGGCUCACGGGAUAAGAAGACUGACUGGUACUCCUGAGGUGGUGUGUUCGAGCCUUUUUUGGGACAAGGUGAAUUUUGAAGUCUAGUGUCUAGACAGGAAAGUGAAAGAGGAAACAAAUGGUAUAAUCCUGUGUCUCCAAGUGGCUCAGUGGAUAAGAACACUGGCUGGAACUCCUGAGGUCAUAGGUUCGAGUCCUACCUUGCCCACUUCUUGGUGAAUUUUGAAGGUCUAGAGUUUACAAAGGACAGUGAUAUGUGAAUAAAAAAAUACAUUUCUCUUGUGUGUCCACAUGGCUCACGAGCCUUUUUGGGACAAGGUGAAUUUUGAAGUCUAGUGUCUAGACAGGAAAGUGAAAGAGGAAACAAAUGGUAUAAUCCUGUGUGUCCAAGUGGCUCAGUGGAUAAGAACACUGGCUGCAACUCCUGAGGUCAUAGGUUCGAGUCCUACCUUGCCCUAUUCUUGGUGAAUUUUAAAGGUCUAGAGUCUACAAAGUACAGUGAUAUGUGAAAAAAGAACCCAAUUCUCUUGUGUGUCUACAUAGCUAACGGGAUAAGGAGACUGACUGGUACUCCUGAGGUGGUGUGUUCAAGCCUAUUUUGGGACAAGGUGAAUUUUGAAGUCUAGUGUCUAGACAGGAAAGUGAAAGAGGAAACAAAUGGUAUAAUUCUGUUCGUCCAAGUGGCUCAGUGGAUAAGAACACUGGCUGGAACUCCUGAGGUCAUAGGUUGGAGUCCUACCUUGCCCACUUCUUGGUGAAUUUUGAAGGUCUAGAGUCUACAAAGGACAGCGAUAUGUGAAUAAAAAAAUACAUUUCUCUUGUGUGUCCACAUAGCUCACGGGAUAAGGAGACUGACUGGUACUCCUGAGGUGGUGUGUUCGAGCCUUUUUUGGGACAAGGUGAAUUUUGAAGUCUAGUGUCUAGACAGGAAAGUGAAAGAGGAAACAAAUGGUAUAAUCCUGUGUGUCCAAGUGGCUCAGUGGAUAAGAACACUGGCUGCAACUCCUGAGGUCAUAGGUUCGAGUCCUACCUUGCCCACUUCUUGGUGAAUUUUGAAGGUCUAGAGUUUACAAAGGACAGCGAUAUGUGAAUAAAAAAAUACAUUUCUCUUGUGUGUCCACAUAGCUCACGGGAUAAGGAGACUGACUGGUACUCCUGAGGUGGUGUGUUCGAGCCUUUUUUGGGACAAGGUGAAUUUUGAAGUCUAGUGUCUAGACAGGAAAGUGAAAGAGGAAACAAAUGGUAUAAUCCUGUGUGUCCAAGUGGCUCAGUGGAUAAGAACACUGGCUGGAACUCCUGAGGUCAUAGGUUGGAGUCCUACCUUGCCCACUUCUUGGUGAAUUUUGAAGGUCUAGAGUCUACAAAGGACAGCGAUAUGUGAAUAAAAAAAUACAUUUCUCUUGUGUGUCCACAUAGCUCACGGGAUAAGGAGACUGACUGGUACUCCUCAGGUGGUGUGUUCGAGCCUUUUUUGGGACAAGGUGAAUUUUGAAGUCUAGUGUCUAGACAGGAAAGUGAAAGAGGAAACAAAUGGUAUAAUCCUGUGUGUCCAAGUGGCUCAGGGGAUAAGAACACUGGCUGCAACUCCUGAGGUCAUAGGUUCGAGUCCUACCUUGCCCACUUCUUGGUGAAUUUUGAAGGUCUAGAGUCGACAAAGUACAGUGAAAUUUAAAAAAAUACAUGAUUGUCUCGUGUGUCUACACGGGUCACUGGAUUCAAUCCUCAUUGGGGACGCCCUCUGCUCAGCCACCGGCCAUCCGCCGCGCGGCAUAUGACCCAAUAUUCGACAGUGACUAAAAUUAUAAAUAGACAGAUUAAAAAUAAUUACAAACACUUAAUUGGAGAUCCAGGGUUAUUGGAAAACCACCAAAUUAUUUUAGCCUAUAGAAAAAGUAAAAAUUUAAAAGACAUUUUAGUACGGGCCAAAUUAAAUCAGGUACAACCAAUUAAUACAAACCCCAAAUUUAAUUUUUUCCAGACAUUGACCUAUGUAACAAACAAAUUGGAUAAAACAAUGUUUAAAAUCAAACAAAAAUUCACAUUACAAACUAAAAACUGUGUUUACAUUAUAAUUUGCAAUAAAUGUGGAAAACAAUACAUUGGAGAAACAAAAAAUACGUUACGAACAAGAAUGUGGCAACAUAGGUACAAUAUAAAAAAUCAAAAAGAAACUAAUACUCCCCUUGUACAACACUUCAUACACCACGGCAUCGACGCCAUCAGGAUGGCAGGGAUCCAGAGUAACUUACUCUGGACAGAUAAAGACAGGAAAAACAUGGAGAGGAGAUGGAUUUAUUUAUUACAAACCAAAGAACCAAUUGGCCUUAAUAUCAAAUUUUAAUCAAUUUUUGUUUUACAUCCACAUGUGAUUAGGGGCUCUAAUGCCUAACCCUGACCCCUGAUCACUAACCACCAACCCCUAAUCACUAACCACCAAACUCUUAUCACUAACCCCUGACCCCUAACCACUAACCCCUAGCCCUAAUCUAACGCCUAACCAGAAUCCUAACCCUAACCCUAACCUUCGGGGAUCAAAAUCUAACCCUAACCCUAUCCCUAACCCUAACCCUAACCCUCGGGGAUCAAACAUCUAACCCUAACCCUAUCCCUAACCCUAUCCCUAACCCUAACCCUAACCUUCGGGGAUCAAAAUCUAACCCUAACCCUAUCCCUAACCCUAACCCUAACCCUAACCCUCGGGAAUAAAAUCUAACCCUAACCCUGGCCCUAACCCUAACCCUAACCUCUAGAUCUUGCCCUAAACCUAACCCUAGCCUUAACCCUAACCCUAACCUCUCUAACCCUAGCCCCGACCCCUAACCCUAACCUUUAAAAACUAAUAAUUUAUUUGUACUAAUUAUUUUUAAUUCAUUAUUAAUUAUUAAACUUCAUAAUACGCUAAAAAUAGUUAUGAUUUGACAUUUAAACCAUAAAUAUUAAAAAUGCAUAUCUUAUCUAACAUUUAAAAAGGAUUAAGGGCUAAAAACACUACAACUAUCUUUAAAAUUCAACUUCAUUAAAAUACUAAUUGGCAAUUAUGGAUCUAAAAGACUAAAGUUUCAAUGGGGCAUUAAAUUACAAUUCAUUUUCAAUUAAUCUGUUAAAAAGAGGGGAAAACAUUCUAAAUUGGGCCUUAAAAUUACAAUUAAUCAGCUAAAACAGGGUAGAAAUUUCUAAAUUGGGCAUUACAAUUACAAUUCAUAAAGUUUAAUCACUUAAAAAGAGGGUAAAAAGUUCUAAUUAGGCAUUAACAUUCAGGUCAUUUAAUUUUAGUUGGCAUUUAUGGGGUUAACUGCACCCAGAUGGUAUCCAGACGGCCGGGGGCCCCCGUCUGGCUCUGCUCUCUCCCACGCCCCUAUAAAUAACACACGCACACAGAGCUCAGUUUCUUCACUUCUCCUAUGUCUCCUGAAGAGAAAACAUCUCAUACACACACUAAAACAAGUCCAGACAUAUCCCAUUUGUGCCCAUAGCCUGAAGAAGACCCACAGCGGUCGAAACGUCGCGACUGGGCACUCUUUAUCACACCUUUUCUUUAUUUCUUCCUCCUCAUAGGCAUUUUAUUUGGUUUUCUUUCUUUUAUUUCAUUUUGAUUUCAGAAAAAAACAAAAAAAGCAUAAAAAAAUAAAAGAACAAUUCAUUUUUUUAUAUAUACAGUUUUUGUUUUAAAUAUUUUUUCAUUUCAUUAGAUUAAUAAAAAGAUAGAUAGAUACACAAAUAAAUAAAUACAUAGUUUAAUAAAUACAGUACAUUAAUAAAUAGUAAUAAAUAAUUAAAAAGAUUAAAAACAAUCUUGACUUAUGAGCAACAAGACUGGACUGAAGUGCGAUACGGGAGAAGGCGUGGUCGACGCCCGUACCGCACUAAUAAUCAGCAGUACCAAACGGGGUCGUGGGGGACGGGGAACAGGGGGAUGGACCGUGCACCUCCUGUCUCCUAUCCUAGGAGACAGUCCCCCUUUUCCCGUAAUCCUAACCCUAACCCCUAACCCUAACCCCUAACCCCUAACCCUAACCCUAACCCCUAACCCCUAACCCUAACCCUAACCCCUAACCCUAACCCUAACCCCCUAACCCUAACCCUAACCCUAACCCCCUAACCCUAACCCUAACCCCCUAACCCCCUAACCCUAACCCUAACCCUAACCCCCUAACCCUAACCCUAACCCUAACCCUAACCCAGGCAGAUCUUUCAAAAGAGCCACCUCAAGAGUGGAAGAGCGCCUUCGCUGUGGCCACGAGAUGGGCUAGAAGGAACCUGCCUCGCAUAAAGCAGGAGGUUAUUGACCACGCGGAGGCUCUGAUAGCCUCCUGUGUGAAGCCUGAUGCAGCACAGGACACAGAGACAGCCCCUGCUGAGCCUGCUGCUGCACAGGAAAAAAGACAAAAUGAUGAUCCACAAAUUGUGGACAAACCUGUAAACAUAAAGCAGACACCACAACAAAACACACAGUCAGCACAAGCACAACAACAACAACAAAACAAAACACCACCACAACAACAACAACAAAAAACACCACAACAAACCAAAACACCUCAGACUCCACUCCACACACCACACACAGAACCACAACAUAACAAACAAGAGGAGAAACAAACACCUACAAACAAUACAAAACAGUACUCACACAUAGGGGAAAACCAAGACACGGAGCUGGAGACAACUCCUGUUCUGUCUCCACAACAGAGCUUCCUGUCCAAGCCGGACAUGGAGUUUCUGGAUUUUCUGGAAGGAAACUCUCCCUCUCCCCCAAAACCUGUAACAUUCAAACCAAAAAGACACAUUAGGAAAAAAAAGUGACUCCUAAUCACUAACCACCAAACCCUAAUUACUAACCACUAACCCCUAAUCACUAACCCCUGACCCCCAACCACUAACCACUAGCCCUAAAACUAACGCCUAACCAGAAUCCUAACCCUAACCCUAACCCUCGGGGAUCAAAAUCUAACCCUAACCCUGGAUCUAACCCUAACCCUAACCCUCGGGGAUCAAAAUCUAACCCUAACCCUAAAUCUAACCCUAACCCUAACCCUCGGGGAUCAAAUCUAACCCUAACCUCUCUAACCCUAGCCCUGACCCCUAACCCUAACCUCUAAAAACUAAUAAUUUAUUUUAAUUAAUUCUUUUUAAUCCAUUAUUGAUUAUUAGACAUUAAAACCAUAAAUAUUAAAAAUGCAUAUCUUAUCUAAAGUUUAAAAAGGGAAUUAGGGGCUAACAUAAUUACAUCUGUCUUUAAAAAUUCAAAUUCAUUACAAUUCUAAUUGGCAAACGUUAAAAUUGGGCAUUACAAUUACAAUUCAUUCAAUUAAAUAAGUUAAAAAGAGCAUAAAAAAUUCUAAUUGGGCAUUACAAAUAUAAUUCAUUAAAAUUAAUCUGUUAAAAGAGGGUAAAAAAAUCCAAUUGGCCAUUAACAUUCAUGUCAUCUAAUUUCAGUUGGCAUUUAUGGGGUUAACUGCACCCAGACGGCCGGGGGCCCCGUCUGGCUCUGCUCUCUCCCACGCCCCUAUAAAUAAAUCACGCACACAGAGCUCACUUCUCUCACUUCGCAUAUGUCUCCUGAAGAGAAAACAUCUCAUACACACACUCAGACAAGUCCAGACAUAUUCCCUUUUGUGCCCAUAGCCUGAAGAAGACCCAAGCGGGUCGAAACGUCGCGACUGGGCACUCUUUUCACACCUUUAUCUUGAAUUCUUCAUUUUGAUACACAUUUUAUUUAGUUUUCUCACUUUUAUUUCAUUUUUAUUUCACAAAAAACAAAAAAAAGCAUAAAAAAAUAAAAAACAAUUCAUUUGAUACAGUUUUUGUUUUAAACACCUUGAUUUGAAUAAAAAGAUCGAUAGAUAGACCAAUAAAUAAAUAAAUAGUUUCAUAGAUACACCACAUUAAUAAAUAACAAUAAAUAAUUAAAAAGGUUAAAACAACAAUCAUGACUUACGACCAAGAACAAUGGACUGAAGUGCGAUACGGGAGAAGGCGUGGUCAACGUCCGUACCGCACUAAUCAGCAGUACCAAACGGGGUCGUGGGGGAUGGGGAACAGGGAACAGGGAACAGGGGGAUGGACCGUGCACCUCCUGUCUCCUAUUCUAGGAGACAGUCCCCCUUUUUCCAUAAUCCUAACCCUAACCCUAGCUCCAACCCUAACCCUAACCCUAGCCUCAGUCUAACCACCAUGUGAAGAGCCUUUAAUGGGCUGAACAAUAUUAGAAACAAAUGUGAUACCUUUGUCCAUCAACAAUCACAGCAACUCCAAUCUUAAAAUUGGUCACCCAUGUAAAGAUUUCUGCUUACAAAACCUGUUUACAAACAAAGAGUUCAUACUUUAAAUCAAGGUACUAUAGAAUGUUGUUUCUUUAUAUGUUUAUGUUUUGUUUUUUUAUAUGGUUUUUGAUUUAUCAUUUCAUUGCACACAAAAUGUUACAGGAUUGACAAUAAUAUUUUUCUUUUUUUCUUUCUUUCAGUUUCACUUAUAUGAAAACUCAGUUUGAUUUUUUCAAGUUGAUGUAAAUUGUAAAUUAAAUAUAUUGUGUAAUGUGUUCAUGUGUCAUUUACAUUUUUUUUCUACUUCUUUCAUCAUGAAGGCCUUUUUAGCCAUCUUUAAAAUUCUUUACCAUAUUUGCUGCAAUGUUCAAAUUCAGUUCUUUAACAAUUUUAACAUUCAUAGAACUUCUACUUUAUCUUACCAAGUUUUUUUUUCAUUCAUACAACUUCUAUUUCUUUUUCAUUAUCUUCUUCUUCUUCAGUUCUGUUACUGUUUAAACAUUCAUACAACUUCUAUUUCUUACACUUCAACUCUUCAACAUUUACAUUUUACAUGUAUACUUUCCUCCAUUUUUUUCACAGUUUUGCUUUUCAGUUUUCAGCAUUCAGCAUUUCCACGCAUGCGGAUGUAUUUUUCUUUUUUCUACCCUUUAUACUUUAUGAUUUUUUUAACUUUUUGUGCAAAAAUUUUAACAUUGAAGUCAAUGGGGAAAUCUUAAAAUUCUACCUUUUACUCUUCCACCUUCAAAGCCUUAUAACUUCAGCAUACUUUCAACUAGAGACCUCAUUUUUGCUUUAAAAUGUUCAUUCACUUGUCGACUAUUAAAGUUGUACUCAGUUUUUUGAUAUCUUUUACAGUUUUUCCACAAUUAAGCUUUAGGCAACUUGUGCUUUUCAGCAAAUUUUCAGGCUUUAUAAUGGGUGUAUUGGAGAGGCUAGAGUGAAGGGGCGUUCAGACCAGCCGCGACCUGACGCGACUUGGCAACGGCUCCCAAUGCAAAGUCUAUGGCCAUCCACGACCUGACGCGACUUGGCGACCGCUGGCUGCCUGCGACGCAACCUGACGCGACCAAGCAACCGGUUGCCAAGGCGCGUCCCCGAGGUCGCGUCACCGAGGUCGCAGGACGCCAAGUCACAUCGGUCCCAAAGUUCAAAUAUUUGAACUUUGGUAGCGACUCCGUGCCGCGACAGCCAAUCAGGGCUCUGCUGACGUCAACAAACCGGUGAAACAAGGAAGAGAAGAAGAAAGGGGCGUUCAGACCAGCCGCGACUUGGCGACGGCUCCCAAUGCAAAGUCUAUGGCCAGCCGCGACCUGACGCGACUUGGCGACCGCCGGCUGCCUGCGACGCGACCUGACGCGACCUAGCGACCGGUCGCCAAGGCGCGUCCCCAAGGUCGCAGGACGCCAAGUCGCGUCGCUCCCAAAGUUCAAAUAUUUGAACUUUGGGAGCGACUCUGUGCCGCGACAGCCAAUCAGGGCUCUGCUGAGGUCAACAAACCGGCGAAACAAGGAAGAGGAGAAGAGGAAUGGAGGAGCAGUUAAUCACAUCCGUUAGCUACCACCCGGUGCUAUACGACGUGGGUUGCGGGCUGUACCGGGACCGCAACGCCAAAGAAGAAGCAUGGGGGAAGGUGGCCCAUGAUGUCGGGCUUUCUGGUAAGCUUGUUUGUUUAUUUAUUUAUUUCAGUGAGCGGACUGUUUUAUGAAAACAUAGCUAACUGCCCCUGCUUGCUAGGCUACAUGUUUCAACGUAUGUGUGUGUGUCUUUGCAGUGGAUGUGUGCCGCAAGCGGUGGAAGGGGCUUAGGGACCUUUAUAUGAGGGACAGACAGAUAUCAAAUCAAUCAAUCAAUCAAAUUUUAUUUAUAUAGCGCCAAUUCACAACAGUCGUCAUCUCAAGACGCUUUUCAAGGAACAAGAGCAGGUCUGGACCACGCUCAUUGUUUGAUGAUCAAGAACCAACCUAAGAUGGGUUUUGGCCCAUCUCAACUAACAUGAGUUACAGUGGCAAGGAAAAACUUCCUUUUAACAGGCAGAAACCUUGGGCAGGACCAGCCUCAUGCUAGACAGCCACCAUGCCGCUGCUGGGUUGGGGAGGAAUGUAGAGAGAAGAGGGGAGAGGGGGAGAGGACAGGGGGAGGGAGAGAGACAACAAGGUAGGGGAAAGGCGAGAGAGAAUUAGUACGGAGAGGGAGGGGGAGGGAGAGAGAGUAGGGAACGAGGGUGAGAGAGAGACAGGAGGCAGCAGGAACAACAGCAACAACAACAACAGCUCAUGUAAUGGUGAAACAAAAAGAAGUUCAGUUUACAGGUUUAGGAUAUGAGUGAUAAUGGACAAUGUUGAAUUAAUUGAGUGCGAUUACAGUUAGCAGGCUUAAUCGUAGUCAGUUCUAUUUUGUAUUAUUAAUGUCAAUAAUGACAGUGAGGCUGAUGUUCAUGUCUGCAGUAACAGUAACAGCAGCAGUCCAGAGGAAUCAGAGAGAAGAAGGAGCUCAGGGCCAGGGGGGGGGGGGGGUCUGCAGCAACGGUCCAGAGGAGCCAAAGAGCCAAAGAGUUGGAGGAGCUCAGGGCCCAGGGUGGAUGCAGCUGGGGUCAGGCGGUUCCGCAGCAGACCGUUUGCAGCAUUAGUCCAGUGGCAGCUAAAAGACUCAGAGACACUCAGAGAGACAGAAAACUGGUCAGUGACUUAUAUGGGACAUAAAGAUCUAAAGAGGAGAUAGAGACAGACUCUAGCUCAGUGUGCCAGAUAGCCCCGGCAGUCUAGGCCUAUAGCAGCAUAACUAAGAGCUGGUUCAAAUCAGCCCUGACUAUAGGCUUUAUCAAAGAGGAACGUUUUAAGUCUACUCUUGAAAGUUGAGAGUGUGUCUGCCCCCCGAACCUCGAGCGGUAAAUGAUUCCAGAGAAGAGGUGCCUGGUAGCUGAAAGCUCUUCCUCCAAUACUACUUUUAGAGACAUUUGGUACAACGAGCAGACCUGCAGACUGUGAGCGUAACGGUCUAGAUGGAAAGUACGGUAUAACAAGCUCGUCGAGAUAUGAUGGCGCCUGGCCAUUAAGCGCUUUAUAUGUCACAAGGAGGAUUUUAAACUCAAUUCAAUAUUUAAUAGGGAGCCAGUGAAGAUAGGCUAAAACAGGAGAGAUGUGCUCCCUUCUUCUAGUUCUAGUCAAUACCCGAGCUGCUGCAUUUUGGACCAGCUGAAGAGUCCUUAAUGACUUACUAGAGCAGCCUGAUAGGAGAGAAUUACAGUAAUCCAGCCUAGAGGUAACAAAGGCAUGGACUAGUUUUUCUGCAUCGCUCUGAGACAAUAUGCGUCUAAUUUUUGAGAUAUUGCGCAGGUGGAAAAAGGCUGUCCUGGAAAUUUGUUGAAUGUGGGAGCUAAAAGAUAAAUCCUGAUCAAAUACAACUCCUAGAUUUCGCACAGUGGGGCUGGAUGCCAGGCUG